Molecule: long non-coding RNA, 440 nt
Filed under: Zea mays
Lineage: Eukaryota; Viridiplantae; Streptophyta; Magnoliopsida; Poales; Poaceae
Description: drought responsive lncRNA
Source: RNAcentral
CACUGCUUAAUUUGAUUCUAUUCUAUUUCCCAUACCUAUAGCUAUUGUUAUACAUAUCUUCCACCCAACUGAAAAAAAACCAGCCGUACCCUUUAGUUGUGACUAUUGUUACUUAUUUCUCUACUAGUCUCUACGUUUGGUAGACAAUGCAUCAGUUUCCUCCGGGCAGCAAAGUUCACGUGAGAUGGAUACUCAGUGCUGUUUAAAUAAACUAGAACUAAUAGUUAGAACAUAUUUGGUUCCUAUAUUCGCCUGACUAAACUUUGGUGGCUAAAGUUUAGUCACUAAAGUACUCUGUUUGGUUUCAGUGACUAAACCUGACUAAAAACAUUAAUUGACGUGAAUAAUGACUGCAUUACUCUUAUUAAUUAGUGAUGCCUGCUGCACUAAGAAAGAGGAGAGGGCAAAUGAGGUAAAAAUCCUACUUUAGUCCCUUUUAG